UCUAUAAUCAUACUACAUUCU
This 21-nucleotide microRNA is filed under the name Anolis carolinensis (green anole). RNAcentral describes it as "aca-miR-5419". Lineage: Eukaryota; Metazoa; Chordata; Lepidosauria; Squamata; Anolidae. The record is from miRBase by way of RNAcentral.